Molecule: ribosomal RNA, 365 nt
Filed under: uncultured bacterium
Lineage: Bacteria
Description: partial 16S ribosomal RNA
Rfam family: Bacterial small subunit ribosomal RNA
Source: RNAcentral
CCUACGGGUGGCAGCAGUGAGGAAUAUUGGUCAAUGGGCGCGAGCCUGAACCAGCCAAGUAGCGUGAAGGAUGACUGCCCUACGGGUUGUAAACUUCGUUUAUAAAGGAAUAAAGUGAGGCACGUGUGCGUUUUUGUAUGUACUUUAUGAAUAAGGAGCGGCUAACUCCGUGCCAGUAGCCGCGGUAAUACGGAGGAUCCGAGCGUUAUCCGGAGUUAUUGGGUUUAAAGGGAGCGUAGAUGGGUUGUUAAGUCAGUUGUGAAAGUUUGCGGCUCAACCGUAAAAUUGCAAUUGAUACUGGCAGCCUUGCGUACAGUUGAGGUAGUCGGUAUUCGUGGUGUAGCGGUGAAAUGCUUAGAUAUCAC